Molecule: ribosomal RNA, 465 nt
Filed under: Vreelandella stevensii
Lineage: Bacteria; Pseudomonadati; Pseudomonadota; Gammaproteobacteria; Oceanospirillales; Halomonadaceae
Description: partial 16S ribosomal RNA
Rfam family: Bacterial small subunit ribosomal RNA
Source: RNAcentral
CCUACGGGAGGCAGCAGUGGGGAAUAUUGGACAAUGGGGGCAACCCUGAUCCAGCCAUGCCGCGUGUGUGAAGAAGGCCCUCGGGUUGUAAAGCACUUUCAGUGAGGAAGAACGCCUGGUGGUUAAUACCCAUCAGGAAAGACAUCACUCACAGAAGAAGCACCGGGUAACUCCGUGCCAGCAGCCGCGGUAAUACGGAGGGUGCGAGCGUUAAUCGGAAUUACUGGGCGUAAAGCGCGCGUAGGUGGCUUGAUAAGCCGGUUGUGAAAGCCCCGGGCUCAACCUGGGAACGGCAUCCGGAACUGUCAAGCUAGAGUGCAGGAGAGGAAGGUAGAAUUCCCGGUGUAGCGGUGAAAUGCGUAGAGAUCGGGAGGAAUACCAGUGGCGAAGGCGGCCUUCUGGACUGACACUGACACUGAGGUGCGAAAGCGUGGGUAGCAAACAGGAUUAGAUACCCUUGUAGUC